Molecule: unclassified non-coding RNA, 240 nt
Filed under: soil metagenome
Description: partial contains 5.8S ribosomal RNA, internal transcribed spacer 2, and large subunit ribosomal RNA
Source: RNAcentral
AACGCACGAGACCUGCGGACCUGCGGAGGGAUCAUUAUUGAAUAAACUUGAUGUAGUUGAGCUGACUCUCUCGGGAGUAUGUGCUCGCUCGUCACCUUUAUCUUUCCACCUGUGCACUUUUUGUAGAUUUGGAUAUAACUGUCCGAGGCAACUCGGUUGGGAGGAAUGCUGUCUCUGAUGGCUUUCCUUGUAUGUCCAAGUCUAUGUUUUCAUAUACUCCAAGUAUGUAACAGAAUGUAU